Molecule: ribosomal RNA, 1110 nt
Organism: Dethiosulfatibacter aminovorans DSM 17477
Lineage: Bacteria; Bacillati; Bacillota; Tissierellia
Rfam family: Bacterial large subunit ribosomal RNA
Source: Rfam
ACAGGUUUCUGCUAAAUCGAAAGAUGAAGUAUAGGAGCUGACACCUGCCCGGUGCUGGAAGGUUAAGGGGAAGAGUUAGCGCAAGCGAAGCUUAGAACUUAAGCCCCAGUAAACGGCGGCCGUAACUAUAACGGUCCUAAGGUAGCGAAAUUCCUUGUCGGGUAAGUUCCGACCCGCACGAAAGGUGUAACGAUUUGGGCACUGUCUCAACAAUGGACCCGGUGAAAUUGUAGUACUCGUGAAGAUGCGAGUUACCCGCGACAGGACGGAAAGACCCCGUGGAGCUUUACUGCAGGCUGACAUUGGAAUUUGGUAUUAAUUGUACAGGAUAGGUGGGAGACUACGAAAUCAGGGCGCCAGUCUUGGUGGAGUCGCUGUUGGGAUACCACCCUAUUGAUACUAGGUUUCUAACCUGAUGCUGUUAUCCAGCAUAGGGACACUGUCAGUUGGGCAGUUUGACUGGGGCGGUCGCCUCCUAAAGAGUAACGGAGGCGCUCAAAGGUUCCCUCAGCACGGUCGGAAAUCGUGCGAAGAGUGUAAAGGCAGAAGGGAGCUUGACUGCGAGAGCGACGGUUCGAGCAGGAACGAAAGUUGGACUUAGUGAUCCGGUGGCGCCGAGUGGAAGGGCCAUCGCUUAACGGAUAAAAGCUACCCCGGGGAUAACAGGCUUAUCUCCCCCAAGAGUCCACAUCGACGGGGAGGUUUGGCACCUCGAUGUCGGCUCGUCUCAUCCUGGAGCUGAAGCAGGUUCCAAGGGUUGGGCUGUUCGCCCAUUAAAGAGGCACGCGAGCUGGGUUCAGAACGUCGUGAGACAGUUCGGUCCCUAUCCGUCGUGGGCGUAGGAAAUUUGAAAGGAGCUGUCCCUAGUACGAGAGGACCGGGAUGGACAAACCGCUGGUGUAUCAGUUGUUCCGCCAGGAGCAUAGCUGAGUAGCUAAGUUUGGAAGUGAUAAGCGCUGAAGGCAUCUAAGCGCGAAGCAUCCCUUAAGAUAAGAUUUCCCAUCCUUUAUGGAGUAAGACCCCAGGAAGACCACCUGGUUGAUAGGUCGCAGGUGUAAGCGCAGUAAUGUGUUCAGCUGAGCGAUACUAAUAGGUCGAGGUCUUGACCAG